This 700-nucleotide ribosomal RNA is filed under the name uncultured bacterium. Its description in RNAcentral is "bacterial SSU rRNA". It matches the Rfam family "Bacterial small subunit ribosomal RNA", at positions 71 to 744 of the family's 1533-position model. The record is from RNAcentral.
UCGGAGUGCUUGCACUCUGUGAAACAAGAUACAGGCUAGCGGCGGACGGGUGAGUAACACGUGGGUAACCUGCCCAAGAGAUCGGGAUAACACCUGGAAACAGAUGCUAAUACCGGAUAACAACAGAUGAUGCCUAUCAACUGUUUAAAAGAUGGUUCUGCUAUCACUCUUGGAUGGACCUGCGGUGCAUUAGCUAGUUGGUAGGGUAACGGCCUACCAAGGCGAUGAUGCAUAGCCGAGUUGAGAGACUGAUCGGCCACAUUGGGACUGAGACACGGCCCAAACUCCUACGGGAGGCAGCAGUAGGGAAUCUUCCACAAUGGACGCAAGUCUGAUGGAGCAACGCCGCGUGAGUGAAGAAGGGUUUCGGCUCGUAAAGCUCUGUUGUUGGUGAAGAAGGACAUGGGUAGUAACUGACCUUUGUUUGACGGUAAUCAAUUAGAAAGUCACGGCUAACUACGUGCCAGCAGCCGCGGCAAUACGUAGGUGGCAAGCGUUGUCCGGAUUUAUUGGGCGUAAAGCGAGUGCAGGCGGUUCGAUAAGUCUGAUGUGAAAGCCUUCGGCUCAACCGGAGAAUUGCAUCAGAAACUGUCGAGCUUGAGUACAGAAGAGGAGAGUGGAACUCCAUGUGUAGCGGUGAAAUGCGUAGAUAUAUGGAAGAACACCGGUGGCGAAGGCGGCUCUCUGGUCUGUUACUGAC